This 497-nucleotide ribosomal RNA is filed under the name uncultured bacterium. RNAcentral describes it as "partial 16S ribosomal RNA". It matches the Rfam family "Bacterial small subunit ribosomal RNA", at positions 28 to 507 of the family's 1533-position model. The record is from RNAcentral.
GAUGAACGCUGGCGGCGUGCCUAAUACAUGCAAGUCGAGCGAACAGACGAGGAGCUUGCUCCUCUGACGUUAGCGGCGGACGGGUGAGUAACACGUGGAUAACCUACCUAUAAGACUGGGAUAACUUCGGGAAACCGGAGCUACUACCGGCUAAUAUAUUGAACCGCAUGGUUCAAUAGUGAAAGACGGUUUUGCUGUCACUUAUAGAUGGAUCCGCGCCGCAUUAGCUAGUUGGUAAGGUAACGGCUUACCAAGGCGACGAUGCGUAGCCGACCUGAGAGGGUGAUCAGCCACACUGGAACUGAGACACGGUCCAGACUCCUACGGGAGGCAGCAGUAGGGAAUCUUCCGCAAUGGGCGAAAGCCUGACGGAGCAACGCCGCGUGAGUGAUGAAGGUCUUCGGAUCGUAAAACUCUGUUAUUAGGGAAGAACAAAUGUGUAAGUAACUAUGCACGUCUUGACGGUACCUAAUCAGAAAGCCACGGCUAACUACGUG